Long non-coding RNA from Pan troglodytes (chimpanzee), 584 nucleotides. RefSeq lists it as uncharacterized. The record is from RefSeq and is a predicted model, not a curated record. The transcript has 2 exons. Lineage: Eukaryota; Metazoa; Chordata; Mammalia; Primates; Hominidae.
CAAUGUGAGGAAAGUGGAAUGAACUUGGACUUUGAAGGCAAACUAACCUGGAAUCAAAUACUGGCUCUGCUGUUUGCAAGUGUGAUCUUUGGGUGUGCUUCCUAAUCUGUGAGCUUCAACUUCCUUCUCUGUAAACCAAGAUCAAAGACAAACAGGGAAACCUACUUGUCUGGUGCCCAUCCCCUUGGCAGAACACUCCUCUGAAGGAUGACAGUUUGGCUGUGCCAGGGCAGAGCUGCCCACACCAAAUAAGCCUUCAUAGCAACUAUCUGAUGAGGAACUCACUGGCCUACCUUUCCUUGACAGCUGGGGCCUGCCAGCCUUGAAGCAUGACUCCACAACGCCCCUACCCAAGGCCAUGGAGGUUGCUGCUGAUGAGCAAGCUGUUUUAUAUUUAAUCCAGGUUUCUGCUUGGAGAGGAAGAAGGUAGAGGAGCCAGCGAAGGUUUGUUUGAAUGAUACUUGCAGAAAAAACACUGGUAGCAGUCACAAAACUUUGAAAAUUAAAGUGCCAGCGAGGUGGCUUUUGGUGGCCAGAUGAAAGCUGUUAACCCCAGCUUUUACAAAUGCUGGGCUUUUGAGUAA